This is a long non-coding RNA of Papaver somniferum (opium poppy), 1408 nucleotides long. RefSeq lists it as uncharacterized. Lineage: Eukaryota; Viridiplantae; Streptophyta; Magnoliopsida; Ranunculales; Papaveraceae. The transcript is spliced from 6 exons. The record is from RefSeq and is a predicted model, not a curated record.
UUCUUCUUUCUUCUCUCAGUUUCUUCUUCACUCUUCUUCUUCGAAAAGCACUGCCGCUCCUCCCAUUUUCACUUCAGAUUUUAGUCUUUUAAUUCAAAUCGAAGUACCACGCAACAUGAUUUUGUACUGCCACUGCCGUUAUUUUGGAUUCACCAGCAGGAAGAAGAAGUAUUAACUGAUGUACCAGCAAUUAGAUGGAGGUUGGAUUCUUAAAUGGUUUUCUUUUUGGAAGUAGGUCAGAAGAUGAACUGGUGAAGUAAUAAUUUCUUUCUAAGUCAUGCUUUAGAUAAUUAAUGCGGGGCUUUGGUUCCUAAUCUAAACCCGAGUUUUGGUUUGUAGUUACAACUUUCUUUGUAGUAUGAAAAUUCAGCUCUGAAUUAUGUUUUAGAUCCUGACUAGUUUGUUUUUUAUUUGUCAAAUUGUUGUUUGUGUGUAGGAUAUGAGAUGGCUGAGAUUAUGGUUUACUGUCAAAUGUCAUGACUCCUUCCUUUGUAUUGUAUACGCACAACUCAUUGGACGAAAGUCCCAACGGAAGAAGGGGUACUUCGUAGCUCAAGGUUGUAUCAAACCACUGUGCGAUCUUUUAAUCUGCCCUGAUGCUAGGAUUGUUACCGUCUGUUUGGAAGAUCUCGAGAAGGCUGAGAAGACCAUGGGAAACACUGAUGAGGAAGAGGGAUUGGAGAAGAUUGAAAACUUACAGAGUCACGCAACACUGAGAUAUAUGAGAAGGCAGUGAAAUUCUUGAGACUUACUGGGUGGAGGAGGAAGAUGAAAUGCCUCCUCUAAGUGAUGCUGCCCAAACAGAGUUCCAUUUUGGAGGGACCCAGCCCCAACUUCCUUCUGGUGGAUUUACCUUUGGCUGAAGGAGUGAGAGUACCUGUUGUGGAAAUUCGUCUCUAUACUGCACUAGCAAGAAUCCGACCCUUAAUCUAUAUGUUCGCAAAUUCAGAAUUCGUUGAUAGGCUUUUAACUUUGUUCUGCAGUUCAAAGACUUCAGAAAUCAUGAUGCUUUUGAGUUUUUCAAUCGUGAUAUACAGGAGACAACAUCUGUUGUGCUUGCAGGAUCUUUUCCGCCUUGAAGUUGGUUGUUGGGACUUGAGCUGACUAUGUAUUUUUGUUUCAUGGUUCUAGAGAGGUAAUCCAUCUAUCUCUACAAAAAUUUGACUUUAGUUAAUGAAAAACAGUCUUAUGAAAUAUAAUAGAUAGAAAAGAAAGGUGGCUUACAGAUGUCGUAAUGUCACAAUAACAUCUUACGUACUAUGCAUUUGUGUCACAGAGAAAAUGUAUGAUUCACAGAUUGAAAAUGUUUGAAUUACUGAUUGAAAAAGAGCAUAUUGAAAUUAUGUUACCAUUCGUCGAGGAGUUAUAGACCAGUAUUUUUAAGUGGAAAUUAUCAUUUAGUUUGAAA